AUUGAACGCUGGCGGCAUGCCUUACACAUGCAAGUCGAACGGCAGCACGGGAGCAAUCCUGGUGGCGAGUGGCGAACGGGUGAGUAAAGUAUCGGAACGUGCCCAGUCGUGGGGAUAACGUAGCGAAAGUUACGCUAAUACCGCAUACGAUCUAUGGAUGAAAGCGGGGGAUCGCAAGACCUCGCGCGAUUGGCGCGGCCGAUAUCAGAUUAGGUAGUUGGUGGGGUAAAGGCUCACCAAGCCGACGAUCUGUAGCUGGUCUGAGAGGACGACCAGCCACACUGGGACUGAGACACGGCCCAGACUCCUACGGGAGGCAGCAGUGGGGAAUUUUGGACAAUGGGCGCAAGCCUGAUCCAGCCAUACCGCGUGCAGGAUGAAGGCCUUCGGGUUGUAAACUGCUUUUGUACGGAACGAAAAGGUUUGACUUAAUACGUUGGACUCAUGACGGUACCGUAAGAAUAAGCACCGGCUAACUACGUGCCAGCCGCCGCGGUAA
RNAcentral lists this ribosomal RNA (499 nucleotides) under uncultured bacterium. RNAcentral's name for it is "partial 16S ribosomal RNA". It matches the Rfam family "Bacterial small subunit ribosomal RNA", at positions 30 to 523 of the family's 1533-position model. The record is from RNAcentral.